AUUGAACGCUGGCGGCAGGCUUAACACAUGCAAGUCGAGCGGGGGAAGGUAGCUUGCUACCGGACCUAGCGGCGGACGGGUGAGUAAUGCUUAGGAAUCUGCCUAUUAGUGGGGGACAACAUCUCGAAAGGGAUGCUAAUACCGCAUACGUCCUACGGGAGAAAGCAGGGGAUCUUCGGACCUUGCGCUAAUAGAUGAGCCUAAGUCGGAUUAGCUAGUUGGUGGGGUAAAGGCCUACCAAGGCGACGAUCUGUAGCGGGUCUGAGAGGAUGAUCCGCCACACUGGGACGGAGACACGGCCCAGACUCCUACGGGAGGCAGCAGUGGGGAAUAUUGGACAAUGGGGGGAACCCUGAUCCAGCCAUGCCGCGUGUGUGAAGAAGGCCUUAUGGUUGUAAAGCACUUUAAGCGAGGAGGAGGCUACUUUAGUUAAUACCUAGAGAUAGUGGACGUUACUCGCAGAAUAAGCACCGGCUAACUCUGUG
RNAcentral lists this ribosomal RNA (485 nucleotides) under uncultured bacterium. Its description in RNAcentral is "partial 16S ribosomal RNA". It matches the Rfam family "Bacterial small subunit ribosomal RNA", at positions 30 to 507 of the family's 1533-position model. The record is from RNAcentral.